RNAcentral lists this transfer RNA (76 nucleotides) under Cellulomonas sp. WB94. Its description in RNAcentral is "tRNA-Ala". It matches the Rfam family "tRNA". From Rfam's summary of the family: Transfer RNA (tRNA) molecules are approximately 80 nucleotides in length. The record is from RNAcentral. Lineage: Bacteria; Bacillati; Actinomycetota; Actinomycetes; Micrococcales; Cellulomonadaceae.
GGGGCCAUGGCGCAAGUGGUAGCGCACCUGCUUUGCAAGCAGGGGGUUAGGGGUUCGAGUCCCCUUGGCUCCACCG